Long non-coding RNA from Hippocampus zosterae (dwarf seahorse), 2739 nucleotides. RefSeq lists it as uncharacterized. Lineage: Eukaryota; Metazoa; Chordata; Actinopteri; Syngnathiformes; Syngnathidae. The record is from RefSeq and is a predicted model, not a curated record. The transcript has 2 exons.
CUCUUAUGUUCUUGUCCAGGCUCGUAUGAGUGUGGGGAGAUUUCCUGUCGGCACAGUGCAGUGCCGUGUACAGUGAGUCUGCGCUGCAUCACAACACAGUGAGGCGAAUGGGUGGAGAGAACUUCGGAGGGAUUUGUAAUCUGCUCAAGCAUGCAGACGGAGUGAUGUCACAUGCUGCAGUCCCACCUGGAGGCGCACGGAUCAUCAUCAAGCCAAAUACCCCCGAUAACCUCCUUAAAUGUCUUUAUUUAUGUCUGAUUUGUGCACUCAAGCCAGAUGUGGCGCUAAAGCCGCAAUAUGAUGCAUAGGUCAUAACAGCUACAUCUUGAUUGUCAAGCGGAACAGAAAAUGGGGAAAUUCAUGCGGUUUGAUUAAACUUUUACUUCGCUUCUUUUUCACUUCCUCUCUCUUGCGCUUUGUUUUGAUGCCGCCCGUUAUGGUGGAAGCACGUCACUCAUGACCACAGAAUUUCUGAGGAACUGCGAUAAGGGCAGACAGUUGCGCGUCAGUGGAAGGUGGUAACCUGGCUCAUACGUAACUGUUAUGACAAAGCCGAUUUAACGGCUACACAUGUCCGGGCCUCGGCCGCCACGGUUUCGAAACAUUUUAACAGGAACACAAUCGAAUCAUUAAAAAUAUGUCAAGUAGAAUCACACAAUGCAGUCCACAUUGGUUCAUUUGGUCUUCAAGUCAAUGUCUUACUACUUCUUAGUAAAAAAAAAUAACCAAUGUUGAAUUGCUCUUCCAGGGGUAAUCACAGGCAAGACAGUGUAGGGGGUUAACAAGUCUAUUUGACAGUCGACGGGUUCUGGGUUUGAAUCUGAGCACUGCUGAGUGAAGUUUGUAUCAUGAUGCUUGUGUGGGUUUUUCAUGAAUACUCGGCCUUCUUCUCACAUUCCAAAAACAUGAAUGUUAGGUUUCCGAAAUUGUCAAUAGGUGUUAAUGUGAAAUUGCGCCCUAUGCUUGGCUGGUGAACAAUCCUUGGCGUACCCAAAUUUAGUCAGAAUAGUCUCCAUCUUACCUGAUACCACAAUGAGAUAUGCAGGACAGAAUAUGAAUCGAUGGGUCGGCUAAUCACAAUUUAGUGUACUUUUUGGAUCCCCAUGUUUGACUGCAACAUGAUCUUUUGAUAUUACGCAGCAGCAGUCCAUAAAAGACAUGGUAGAAACCAGUCAUGGGACAGAAAAAACACGUAUUGCUGCCAUGGAGCAAGGCGCCAAAUCCCUUACGGAUCAGAAUAACAUUUUCAUUUAUUUCAAUGGGAAAAGAUGAUUUGAGAUACAAGCGUUUUGAGUUUGGCCAUGAAACAAAUUUAACUUGUAUCUCAACACGGUCCUGGAUGUUUUCGUCUACUUUGUCGGGGAACUCAACAUAACCUAAAACCGACUAUUUGUUUCAAGGACCCACACCCUCAUGCAAAUGUUUGUGUUUUGGGGGUUUGGAAUACAACCCCCUCAAAACUCACUCAAUGGCACCCCCUGCAAGGUUAGGAACAAGUCAAAAGAUCGCUGUGGAGAACUGCAGAGUGAUUCUGCAGAGGAGGACUUUGCUCGUACCUUUUGGUGGCCUCGCAGCACCAACUGGUCACCGGGAGACACUCUUCUCACCACACUUGGCACCAUUUGGCCACUUCAAAGCUCCCGGUGUUCUUUGUUCCUUUAUCUGGCGGACAAAUUUUGUAGUCAACAGAAACCUGAUAACACUAUUAGUGAGGCCACGUCACAGCAAGGCUGGAGCCUCUUUGUCAGAUGAAGCCGCAAGGUGUCUUCAGUCUAAUUUAGAGAUGCCAUAGUUAUUGGUCACACCGUGAAGUUUGAAUAUAUUGAAUAUAUUGCAUAUUGUGCGACAUUGUUGCGCUUUUAGCACAUGGCAAACAAGUCACGAGCUGCAAAGUCAAAUAUGGAUUUAAGACAGUGUUCACUCAUGCACUGAAAAAUACGUCACUUGGUCAGGGCUGAAGAAACGUUGCAUGCCAACCUGGAACUGCUUUUGUUUUCAGGAGAGGAUUGACUGACAAUUCCAUAAUUCAUCAAAUUAUUCAGUUCAGACUCUUUGGUGUGUAAAUUCAACGGGUGGAGUCGUGAAUAAUUUUCGCGAUUCAUUCUUGCGUGCGUUCAACGUGUCUAAGCUUCGGUUCAUUUCCUCAGCCAUCACAUUUGCAAGAACCCGACCAAAAUGUAAACUCCAAAAUGCUUCUUUUGAGCCUUUGUGUAACAUAAAAUAUACUUUAUUGACCUAACUUUUUAGGGCAAGGAACGUUGAGCUGGACACCACGCUCACUAUAACACGAUAGAACCAUGUGAGCUCCACCCUUCACCCGCCCAACCUUUCAGAUGAGACAGCGAAUGCUAAGCUAGUGAGUUAGACUUUUGGGGCUCGGUUCUUUUUUGUUGUUGAUAAAAUACUGACAAAAACAAUUCCUCACCUCAUUUGUCAAAGUGCCCUGAGGCCAGAGACUAUAAGCUUGAAUGGCUCCCCAUAGUCAGCUCAUCACCUCGCACGGCAAAUUGCAGCCAUCUGGGAAUGAAUGUGAGAAUGCAAAUACUGUAUUUUGUGUUUGGAGCUGUGACAUGAGGAAUGACUUUCGAGUUUGCUGUUCUCAUAGUUGUAAUUAGUUCUGUUAUCACAGGAGGAAGUAGUUGAGUAAUGGCAUGGAUUUGGGUUUUCGUGGUUUUGAUGUGGGAAACCCAAGCACGGGAAGGUUGAAGAAGGCAAAACAAAAGACGGCGGCAUGAUUUA